Acinonyx jubatus (cheetah) is the source of this 9810-nucleotide RNA transcript. It is a transcript of the gene named family with sequence similarity 156 member A, with no coding region annotated. Lineage: Eukaryota; Metazoa; Chordata; Mammalia; Carnivora; Felidae. The transcript has 6 exons. The record is from RefSeq and is a predicted model, not a curated record.
UCCGGAAAAACUCCCUACUCCCCGCCCCUGUCUUCGUCUACCGCGUUCCCAUUGGCUAUCUAGCGGGGUCAGGCACAACGAGGGCAGGAGCUCUGGGCAAGGGGUGUGUGUGGGUGUGGGUGUGGGUGUGUUUGUUUGUGUGUGUGGCUUUUCAGAGGCCACAGUUUUUCUCCGAGUUGAACUACUCACCGACUGACUGCCCCGAGGGGCUGAAGAUGCUGCCCCAGUCGGUGGCGAGGUUCGGCGCAACAGCUCGCUUGUAGCCAGAGUCUGGCACUGGACGCGCGCCGUGACUGUGCAACUGUCUUCACGAGAAUCACGUGUGCCCGCUAGGAUUACCCUUCCUGUGUGUGUGCCCUGACCAGCCCGACACUGCCUCAGCCCGGAAGACUUUCAGGUCAGGCUCUGCUUCUCGACCGGUGUGUGCUGUGCCUGAAUUUGUGCGUCAGGCCGGCUAAAAAGAAGGCAUGAAAUGAAGUGUGUCCCUUGGACAAGAGAAAAGAUGGAACCACCAGUCCAGCCACCACCACAACCCCCAAACCCGAACCUCAGCCAGAGGCAUGGACUAGAGUCCCAGGGUCCUGGCAUACUUGCUCCAUGCUGACAUGUCCCUAACACAGGGCACGGUGUGACUGUCUCUUCUGCAGCCUGGCUGUUGAGGAGCUCAGCUGUGCUGGUAUAUACAGUUUUAUUACCCAAACACUCAGGUAAGUGUCAAAGCCCACUGUCUGUAGACAAGGAAACAAACGGAAAGGUUUAGGUCGCUGGUGCAGGAAAGGGUGGAUCUGGGCAUCACACCUCCGUUUCGCCUGACUCCAAAGCCCGACUUUGCACUCACAGUGAUAUUCCUGGAUUGUGUUUCAGCUGCUGAAAUGCAUAUAUUGUUCCAGUAUUGUAUAGUCAUCAUGGUCCCAACACCUGUCCACCUUGAAAUGGAGGUACUCAGCAACCUUGAAAGGUUCUAAGAUUUUGUGUCUGUCCUCUGAUGAGCUGCCCUGAAGCCAACAGACCUGGAGUCCCUUGGCAUGGAAGGCUUGCCUCAGAACCAACAGCCAAGCAGGACUUCAAUGUCCAGGGCUCCCCCCGUGGAGUGGUACUUUGUCAUGUUAGAGAGCCUUUGCAAGCAACCCCACCACCCAAAUUAGGUCUCUACCUGUCUCACUGGUGACCAGGUAUUACGAAUUGAGAGGCAAGCAGAGGAAGUGCUUUUAGUAGCUGCAUCACAGCCGUAGCACUGACCAGACCCCACUGGUGAUUUGAAGCCCAGUAGCCCAAGGACUGCAGUCCGACUCUAACUAGGUGUCUCUCUGUUCUUCGGCGUGCACGUCUGUACACUGUGGGUGAGCAAAGUGCCUGUGUCAUCAGCCUCCCCAGCCUUGAGAGGUGUGUCCUGACCAAACACACGCACAUACACUUAAGUAGGGGUAAGAGGCCCUGCUCUGUGUCCCUAAGGUGCUGUGAUUUCAAUUCUGCCACCGCUCUUCUCACACAAUGUGCAGUGGUCAUCUGCUUGCAGACUACACCCUGUGUGAUCCCUGUGUCCCCACUGAGUCCAGUGAACUGACACAUGAAUUCGGGUGGUGCUUAGAACAUGUUUCUUCAGCGAAGGAGGGACCUUCACCCAAGGUCCUUCAUCCCAAAGGGCAGCUCGUGUACCGGUUAUGACACAGGAGGAUGGAGUAAACAGGACAUCUCUGUACUCAGAUUCUCUGUGAGGAGGAGGAAGAUUGGAUUUUUUGUACCCUCUCUAAUUCCAGAAACUUAAAGAGGCUAUAAAGGGAUUUUCAAUGUGUGGGUCACUGUUGCCCCGUCGGCCACAGUUCUGGUCUCACAGUGGAACUUGGGUCAAGAUCCUUGGAGCUCCAGGCAACUCAGAGAAUGUUUUCCAAGUCCCGAGCGACUGGUGCACAGAGUAGGUGCCCACAGUGAUCUGUCCAGUAGGUGGAUUGUUGAGUGAAUUAAGGCUGCUAGUUAAAUAUGGGAUGCUCUGGCAAGAGCACAAAUCCCCUUGGGGGACGGGACAUGAGCACACGGGUGAAGGCUGUGUCAAUCCAGGUGACUGCUGUCAGCCUCACAAGAAGGCACUCCUCCUCACUGUCCUUCCAGCUCUUUGUCCAAACCUGCCUCUUCUCUAAGUGGUCCUCUCCAUGUCCCUUCUCUGCCUAACUUACAGCCCGAUACAGGCUGUCAUUCGGCAUCUGUGAUCCUUGGGUGUCCUUUGCAGUCCAGCUAACUGAACAGAAGCUGACUCAGCACAGCAGGAUCUAGUGCCUGUCACCCGUUGUUCUCCCCUGCUUUCUGUUAGGCUCUCACUCCCUUCCCCUACCCCCCAGCUGCUCCAGCCUUCUGGCAGUAUCUGCACUGUUUCUGGAAGCCUCUGCCUCAGACACUUCUUCCCAACUGUUCCCUCUUGACAGGAAAGUCCUGACCCCAGAAAUGUGCUUGUCAGAUUCCUCUCCCUGUUCACAAUGUUUGUUGAAAGGUCACCUCUUCGUGAACCCUGAAUUCACACCCUUGGGGAUACUUUCUAGGUUCUGCUUUUGGGGCUGACAGAUCAUCUGGAGAGGCAUUGCCAGCAAACGUGCGGGCGCCUGGGUCUAAGAGCCAAAGAGUUUGUCUAGAACCAAAGAGAAGAGCCUGGAGAAUGUCCUAAUAUUCUGACUAAAAGGCAGAGGGGCACCCAAGAAAACGGGAGGUCAAAUUAUCACCGAAGGCAGGCCAGCCCCUGAGCAGCUCCUCAAAUGAGUGGAAUUGUGUUCAUGCAUCACUUGUAGCCUGAACCAUGGGCCCUGAAUGCUGAGGGAAGAUCCCUGUUCUCCAGUAGCCAUAGUCUGACCAGAAACUCAGAGAAUAAGGCCCUGCCUGCAAUAGCUGAGUGCCUGUUGUCUUUGGGGCCACUAUGUCCAGACCUGGCCAUGCAGCUUCUGUUGUUCUAAGAUGGGGAUGGCAGUACCUGCCUUCCUUGCUUCCAGGGCUCUUCUGACAAACACAGGACGGAAAGCGCGCAAGCGCGCGCACACACACACACACACACACACACACACACACACACACACAAAGAUCAGAGAACUGGAAAGAGCCUAGGUCCUUGAUGGCGUCAUCAGACCCCAGAAUAUGCCCCGCCUGCACCCACCCUUACUUCUGAUUUCAUUGUGUGAUUGUGAAUUGCCUUUGUGAUUAGACCUGUUUGAGGAGGGGUUUCCUCUUUACUCACAGCACAAAGCAGACUUCUGGAUAUGGGGAGCAUCGUGGGGUUUGGUUUUCUUUUCUGUGGGAGCCAUGUCGUGUCGUGGGUAAGGGCACAAGCUCUGUUCCUAAACAACCUUCCUUCCAACUCAGUUCUGCCACUUGCAGUCCUGUCAUUUUGAGAAAUGUACCUGGCCCUGUGCCUUACUAUCCUCACCUGUGAAAUGGGCUUAUUAUUCUUAAUAGUGACAAUACCAAGCAGAGAGGGUUGCAUUUGUGAAUACAUAAUGAGGUAAUGCAAGUAUGGUUCACAGAAUUGCAUCUGCCACAUUCCCUAUCUUUACACCUACUGAUGCUGCCAUGGGAGAGGUGGCAGGUCAGGCUUGACACCACGUGAGCUAGAGCAAAGAACAUAAAGAUCACGUUACACGUCUGUGUUCAGCCCUAGAAACUCUCCUCCUCUGCCAUACAUUCUCAUCCUUUGCGUCAUGCACGGACGAUCCGUCACCAGAGGGCUGACUCUCCCACCUGGGGACCACAAAUACACACCGUCUUACACUGUGUGCAUCAAUUCAGUACACUCCAGUUAUGUCCUCAGAUAGCCUGCCCUGGUCCUGGUGCCGGGGUGGGGGUGGGGGGUACCCCAGGGCAGGUAACGGAGCACAUGAUGUUCCCUUACACCCACACGGCAUCAGAAGCUGUCUGCAUCCUAGUGCCUGCCUUUCUUUCCAGACUCGCCUCCCUCCGCCCUAAAAUUCGGAUUACACUCACACUGGAUUCCAGGGCAGACCCUGCCACUUCAGUCUCUCUCCUUCAGCCUCAAAUUCCUCCUGGUUAAAGGCAAUAAUCCUGCCUACUCAAGGUUUGUUGGGAGACCUCCAGGAGACAACAAAUGUAAAACACCUAGCUGACACUAGCUGGCACGUGGAAGGUGCUGGAUAAGAAACAGCAUUAUCUGUUUCGCUUCUUUAAUCCACAGCACCUGGAAUGCAAAGGGUGUGAGGUCACCGCAUUUAAAUUCUAGAGCAGCAGAUCACAGUUUAUCAGGAGGUUUGGAGCCAGGCCCGGAGGGCACCAGGGAACACCAUCGAGUCACCGUUUGCAGCCCCGCAGCACGAGCAGCCUUCGGAUCAUCCGGGCAGAGCAAGUGGAAGAGAGUCUUCCUGCCCACAGAGAGCUGGAAGCACAGCCCACCGCCCACGAUCCAGUGCUGUGUAACCCAGGAAGUGCCCGUGCAGUCCCUCUGAACUACAGAGAGAGUCUGCUUGCGCUCAGUCUCCGUAAUUAGGUAAUGUCCAGAGCUGUGUUGCUGCAAACAUCUGUGAGUCUUCUGCAGACAGAAGUGGCUUCAGAGCAGGUAUCAGACAGUAUUCUACAUAUCUCCAUAUAUCAGCUUAUGGAAUCCACUCCCAGAACCCAUCAUUGAGCAAGACUUCGAUCUCACUUUGUGUGUGAAAAGCAGAGUACAGAGAGGUCAGGUGAGUUGCUCAGUGUCGCAGAGGCACUGAAGGAGAGGGUGACAGGCAAACCUCGGCGGACUGAAUUCAGAACAUGACUCCUAACCAGCUCACCAACGUUAACCUCUAUAGAGGCCAGGGGUGAAGUGCAGAGAACCAAUGACUUUGCUGGACGUUUCCCAGCUGGAAGCCUCAGGUCUGAUAAGAUACCUCCUUGAAUCCUCCCCAUAAUGCACUAGGGCAGGGGCACUCCUACCCACCUGGCAGAGUUCAAGGAAGUCAUAAAGAGAUGUCUUUACCGCAGCAGCCACACCAACCACAGACAGAUGUUUAGCCACUCGUUAAGGUUUCAUCGUCUCACCCUUGCCUCCCCCACUCCACGCAAGGCUGGCUGCUGGGGUGGGGAAGUUUGGAGUAAUCACAAGACAAUCCUGGCCCUCGGGAUUGAGCCUUUAAUCAGGGAGACCUGUAACGCCCAUACAUGUGGCAAAGAGCCGUCAUGGAGCCCCUCUGUGGCUCUGUGGCCAGGAGACGAGAGGGGUGAGAAGGAACGGGGUGGGGCAGUGUGGAUGUGGGGCUUGCUGAAGGUGCUCCUGACCACACUUACUCAUGGCCUGCACUGGGGCACAUGCGGAAUGGGUGGGCAGGUGUGACUGACAGACCCAGUGGUACCAUCCCACCCCUGCCUCAAAGUCAUUGUCCCCUUGCCCACAUAUCAAGUGUAUGUGGGUAUCUGGGGGUCCCAUCUGAGUCAGCACACGGUCCCAAGUUAUAGACUAGGAGAUAGAAUCCACUAAUGUCCAGAUAUGUUCAGCAUGUCAAAUUAUGCAUUUUUUUAAAUGUUUAUUUUUGAGAGAGAGAGAGAGAGAGAGAGAGAGAGAAUACAAAGUGGGGGGGGGGAGGGGCAGAGAGAGAGGGAGACACAGAAUCUGAAGCAUCAGCAUGUCAAAUUCUAGGCAAGAGGCAGAGGGAGAACCACCAGGAGGCAAGAAAUACAGGGAGAGCAUGGGGGUAGAGUGGAAUGCUCAAAUCAGAAAUCUCAAUGUACCUAUCACAAGUAAAGAAAUUGAAUUUGUUAUUUAACAACCUUCCCACUGGGGCACCUGGGUGGCUCAGUCAGUUGAGUGUCUGACUCAUGGGAUCGAGCCCUACUGUCAGUGCAGAGCCUGCUUGGGAUUCUCUCUUUCCCUCUCUCUGACCCUGCUCCACAUUCUCUCUCUGUCUCUGUCUCUGUCUCUGUCUCUCUCUCUCUCUCAAAAUGAAUAAAUUUUAAAAAUUGAUUUAAAAACCUUCCCACAGAGAAAAGCCCUGGGCCUGCUGGCCUCAUUGCUAAGUUCUGUUAAACUAUAGGAAGAGAUAAUAUCCAUCCCUCAUAGGCUGUUCCAGAUAGAGAGGAGGAAGGAACAUUUCCUAACUCAUCCAUUAGGACAAUAUUACCCUGCACCAAAGCCACACAUGACAACACAAGAAACUAUACACCAAUAUCUAUCAUUAACAUCCAUACAUAAAUCCUCAACAGAAUAGCAUAUCAAAUCCAACAACAUUUGCAAGGGGAAAACCAACUAACCAAGUGAGAUUUAUCCCAGGGUUGCAGUAUCGCUUUAACAUUCAAAAUACAAUUCGGGUCAACCAGCAUAGUAAUAUAUUGAGGACAGAAACCAUGUGAUCAUCUUGAUAGACAAAGACAUUUGACAAAAUUCGAGGCCCAUUCGUGAUAAAAAUGCUCGUCCAACUAGGGACAGAAGGGGACGUCCUCAUUCUGAUAGGGCUAUCUACAAGAAAAAUAUGUCUCCUGUCACAUAUUUAUUAGUGAAUGAAUGCUUUCCCGCUGAGAUCCAGACCAAGGCAAGGAUGGCGGUUCCCACCAUUUCUGCCCGACAUGGACUGAAAGUUUCAGCCAGCGCAAUCAUGCAAGGCAAAGAAACGGAAACAUGGAGAAACUGGACACGAAAACUAUGUCCAAGCAAAGACUUGUACUCAGAUGUUCACAGCAGCAUUAUUCAUAAUCGCCAGAGAGCAAAACAGUGUAAAAAAGUCUGUCAGCUGGUCAAUAGAUAAUUGAAAUGUGGCAACCCAUGCAGUAAGAUGCCACUGAUCUAUGAAAAGGGAUGAACUUCUGAUUUCUGCUACAACAUGGAUGAGCCCCCAGAGUGUUCAGCUACAUGAAAGACACAGACACAAGAGUCCACUUAAAGCAGGAGUCAGUUUCUAGGAAAUGCCCAGAAAGUGCAAACCUACAGAGAUAGAAAUUACAUUAGACUCUGCCUCAGCCUGGAGGUGGGAAGUGAGCGCUGAUGGGUACACAGGGUCUUUCUGGAGAGAAGGAAAUGUUCUAAAACUGAACUGUGGCAAUGGCUGCACGACUCUGUACAUUUACUACAAGUCACUGCAUUGGACUGUCUAACUGGGUGACACUGGUGUGUAAUUAGAGCCCAAUAAAGCCCUUUGGAAAAUGUAAUGCAAAUGUCUAAGUAAGUCAUGGUGGAAAAAGUAUGCCAUUGAUUUUAUAACACUAAGGAACUGUCCCGUCUCCCUUUCCAUGUUCUGGGUCCUGCCUGCACGACCCAUCAUCACCUGCCUCCUCCCUGUGGGUGAGGUGCUCCCACCAGAAUGAGUCACUGUGCACAUCACAAAGGAAUGCUGCUGAGUGCACACGUCUGUGCGUGUGUGUGUGUGUGUCUGUGUCUGUGUGUGUGUGUGCGCUCAUGCGCAGGCACCCGCUGGGUGAACUUAAUGGUUGGCUCCGAAAUCCGUGGCUGGGGUCAGGCUCCUAGCGUCCAUCUUGCAUCUGAAAACCCACUUAGGAGUUUUCCUUUCUUCAGGAAUCCCAUGGACCUGGCUGCAGUUUCCCUGGUAACCAGCCUCAUCCUUAGCUUUAACUUCUGGCCACAGGAAGAUGUGUAGAGUGGGGAGGGGUGUUGUCCGCCCCCCCACUGGGCCCCCUGCCGCACUCAGCAGCCCAGUGUGGAGACACAGCAGAGAGGUAACCAAGACAAUGGAAAUCCCACUGCCUCGAGGCCCUUCCCUCUCCCCUCUGCCUGCCUGAGUGUCAUGUAAAGAAGGGGACGCAGAUGCAUAAACACACUCCUCUGUCCUGUAAUUGUUCUAAGUGUGGCUGUAAAAUAAAUAUGUCACAAACAGCUCCUGACUAAUAAAUACAGAAAGCAAACUGAUGGCUGCUGCAGGGAAGGGGGUGGGUGGAUGAGACAAAUGGGUGAAGGGGAGUGGGAGAUACAGGCCUUCAGAGAAGGAGGAAUGAAUAAGUCAUUGCAUCAGAGGCAUAACACAGGGAAUGUCGUCAGUUGCUGUCAUAGCAUUGUAUGGUGACAGAUAGUGGCUACACUUGUGGUGAGCAGAGCAUAACACUAGACAUGUUAAGUCCCUGUGAUAUACACCUGUGACUAAUGUAACAUUGUGUGUCAACUUUACUCAUGUUAAAAAAAAAAUAGCUCUUGAAAGAAGACACAUAAGGAAUUUUUUUUUUUUUAAUUUCAGUGGUAACACACAUGGCUCUAAAGUUCAAGAUUCUAUUUAAACCAGGACAGGUGAAGCUCAGAGAUGCUUCUCAACAUCAUCUGUGCAUCAGAUCUUUCCUGGAGCAGUUUAGAAUGACUCAACACCUAAAAAACAGACAAUCCAGUUAAAUAUGGGCAGAAGUCAUGAACACACAUUUCUGCAAAGAAGACAUACUGACGGUUAAUGGACAUAUGAAUAGAUAAUAGAUACCGAUCAUCAUAGGGAAAUGCAAAUCAAAACCACAAUGAGCUAUCACCUCACACCUGUCAGAAUGGCUAAAUUCAAACACACAAGAGACAACAGGUGUCAGCGAGUGUCUGGAGAAAGGACCCCUCCUGCACUGUUGCUGGGAAUGCAAACUGGUGCGUCUACUGUGGAAAAGUAUGGAGGUUCCUGAAAAAGUUAAAAAUAGAACUACCCUAAGAUCCAGCUAUCGCCUACUGGGCAUUUAUCCCCCGAAAUACAAAAGCAUUGAGGCGCCUGGGUGGCUCAGUCGGUUAGGUGUCCAACUUCGGUUCAGGUCAUGAUCUCGCAGUUUGUGAGUUCGAGCCCAGUGUGGGGCUCUGUGCUGACAGCUCAGAACCUGGAGCCUGCUUCGGAUUCUGUCUCCCUCUCUGCCCCUCCCCUGUUCGUGCUCUCUCUCUUUCCCUCCCACUUCCCUCCCUCUCUCUCAAAAAUAAACAUUUAAAAAAUUGUUAGCAGCACCUGGGUGGCUCAGUCGGUUAACUGUCCAACUCUUGGUUUGGGCUCAGGUCAUGAACUUGCAGUUUGUUAGUUCAAGCCCCACAUCAGGCUUUGUGCUGACAGUGUGGAGCCUGCUUGGGAUUCUCUCUCUGCCCCUAAACCGCUUGCUGUCUCUCAAAAUAAAUAAAUACGCUUAAAAUAAAAAAAAAAUUUUAAUGCAAAACACUACUUCAAAUGGGAUGCAUUAACUCCUAUGUUUUAGCAGCAUCAUUUGUUAUAACCAAAUUACAGAGGCAACCCAAAUGUCCAUCGAAGGAUGAAUGGAUAAACAAGAUGUAUAUAUAUACAAUGGAAUAUUAUUCAGCUAUAAAGAGAAUGAACUCUUUCCAUUUGCAACGACAUGCAAGGAGCUGGAGAGUAUUAGAAAUAAGUCAGUCAGAAAAAGACAAAUAGCAUAUGAUUUCACUCAUAAGCAGAAUUUAACAAACAACCACAAAGAAUGAGCAAAGGAAAAAAGAGACAAACCAGGAAACAUACUCUUAACUAUAGAAAACAAAGGGAUGAAGGGGAUCCUGAGUGGCUCAGUCGGUUAAGCAUCGGACUUCGUCUCAGGUCAUGAUCUCAAGGUUCAGGAGUUCAAGCCCCACGUGGUGCUGUGUGCUGACAGCAUGGAGCCUGCUUCAAGAUCCUCUCUCCCUCUCUGUCUCUCAAAAAUAAAAAUUAAAAAAAAAAUUUAAACAAGAAAACAAAGGGAUGGUUACCAGAGGGGGCAUGAAGUGGUGGGGGGGUGGGGUGCGGGAUGGGUAUAAUAGGGAAUGGGGAUUAAGGAGUGCACUUGUCCUGAUGAGCACUGGGUGUUGUAUGGAAGUGUUGAAUCACUGUAUUGUACACCUGAAAUUAAUAUUGUAUGUUAACUAUACUGGAUUUAAAAUAAACUUUGUAAUAAAAGAAAAAAAAAAAAAAAAGA